Molecule: long non-coding RNA, 793 nt
Organism: Pocillopora damicornis (cauliflower coral)
Lineage: Eukaryota; Metazoa; Cnidaria; Anthozoa; Scleractinia; Pocilloporidae
Source: RefSeq, a predicted model, not a curated record
CAUGGCGGAACAUGGCGUGGUAGAAAUUGUGAGAACUGCAGGGAAAUAACAGCUUGCUUUGGUACAAGGUCCGGAACUGAAGGGCCCUUCAGCUUCUCAGAAACUUUCCAUCGCUUAGUAAUAUUUAGAUAUAAGAUGGAAGGAAGAGAGUUCGCAUAACAUAGAGAUGAAGACCAUGUUUCCCAAGUGCAUGCCAAAUGUCAACUUGUCAGCAAGAGGUAGACAGUGGAUUCUCUGAAGGUUGCAGUUCUGUGGGAAUGGUCAGUGAUGUCUACGGGGAUUGAAAUUUUAAAUCGGAUAUGACGAUGUACUAAUUACAGGUUUGGUCGACCUCCCAAAGCUGGAUACCAAGGAACACGAUCACCUUAAAUAUAAGAUCAGAGACAAAUAUCAAUCUUGGAAAGAAAGCAAAAUUGGAUCGACCCCUAAUUCAGAGAAUAAAAUUAAAAAUUGGGGUUCUAUCCGUCCGCCAUCCCCCACCACACCCGUCUCUGCCUCUAUUAGACGGUACUUAUAAAUUAUCAACUUUGGAAGGAAACCAAAAACGGUUUCCUGCUCAUCAUCUACCACCGCACCCGCCACUUUUAGACAGUUUUCUUAAUUCUCAUCUACCUUGUGAUUCACACAUCUUUUAAUACAGUACAAUAUUACAGUACAUUAUUACAAUACGAUCAUAAUAAUCUUAUAAUACAGUACAAUAUUACAACAAUUUUAUACAGUUGUUUUUCUCCAUCCGACCUCCCCCGCCGCACCCGCCUCCAGCGUACAGUUUACUUAAUUCUUAAUAAAAGUU